Long non-coding RNA from Megachile rotundata (alfalfa leafcutting bee), 185 nucleotides. The record is from RefSeq and is a predicted model, not a curated record. Lineage: Eukaryota; Metazoa; Arthropoda; Insecta; Hymenoptera; Megachilidae.
UCACGACAAGUCUUCUCAGUGUUUUGAAAGAACAGUGCCUAAGGAAUGAGAAAGUUUUGACAAAUUUUCUUCGAUUUCUUUCAGACAAGAUUGCAUAUCGAAGUUCUGAAUUACGUGAUUAUAUGAGUUACAAUUGUUUCGAGACAUUUAUAUCAGUUGAUUCCAUUUCUAACUGUUAAGAACAU